ACAUUUUUUAGAGCCUAAUUCAUYUUAAUUAAUAAUUAAAAUUACAUUCAAAUCCAUAUUCAAAAUUUUAAUAAAAAAAUUCAUCCUCAAAUAAAUUUAUUGUAAUCCAUCUCUCCUUAAACAGGCUGCACCUUGAUCUGAGUUUUAAUAUUAUACUAUAUUAUAAUUAUAUAUUUCAAAAAAUAAUUUUUAACGACGAUAUACAAGCAAAAUUUAAGUAUUAAUAAUCGUGGAUUAUCAAUUACAGGACAGAUUCCCCUGAUUGGAAUAAAAAACCGCCAAAUUUUUUGACUUUAAAGAACAUAACUAAUAUUUUUCAGGUAUAACAUUUCACAUACUAGAAUAAUGGGGUAUCUAAUCCCAGUCUAAAAUCUAGAUUUCUUAACCUCAUAAUCAAAAAUUCAAUUCUAAUCAAAAAUAAAAUUCCACCUAAUAUUUUUAAAAACAAAAAUCAACUCCUAUUAAUUAAAUACAAACCAAAAAAAAAUAAUAGCAUCCAUUGUUUAACCGCA
Molecule: ribosomal RNA, 512 nt
Filed under: Eumolpinae sp. JGZ-15
Lineage: Eukaryota; Metazoa; Arthropoda; Insecta; Coleoptera; Chrysomelidae
Description: partial 12S ribosomal RNA
Source: RNAcentral